GGCAGCAGCCGCGGUAACACCGGCAGCUCUAGUGGUAGCUGUUUUAUGGGCCUAAAGCGUUCGUAGCCGGUUUAAUAAGUCUCUGGUGAAAAUCCUAUAGCUUAACUGUGGGAAUUGCUGGAGAUACUAUUAGGCUUGAGAUCGGGAGAGGUCAGAGGUACUCCUGGGGUAGGGGUGAAAUCCUGUAAUCCUAGGAGGACCACCUGUGGCGAAGGCGUCUGACUAGAACGAAUCUGACGGUGAGGAACGAAAGCUAGGGGCGCGAACCGGAUUAGAUACCCGGGUAGUCCUAGCCGUAAACUAUGCGGACUUGGUGUGAGGGUGGCUUUGAGCCGUCCUGGUGCCGAAGGGAAGCUGUUAAGUCCGCCGCCUGGGAAGUACGGUCGCAAGACUGAACUUAAGGAAUUGGCGGGGAGCACCACAACGCGUGGAGCCUUGCGGUUUAAUUGGAUUCAACGCCGGAGAUCUCACCAGCGGCGACAGCAGUAUGAUGACCAGGUUGAUGACUUUGUUUGACAAGCUGAGAAGAGGUGCAUGG
This 538-nucleotide ribosomal RNA is filed under the name uncultured archaeon. RNAcentral's name for it is "bacterial SSU rRNA". It matches the Rfam family "Archaeal small subunit ribosomal RNA", at positions 457 to 997 of the family's 1478-position model. The record is from RNAcentral.